AGUGGCCAUGCUGGGCUGAAUGCACCUGAUCCUUGCUGAUUGUGGAUGCUGUGCAGUACAAGACUUUGCUAGUAUUUGGAUGAGAGACUUUCUUGGAAUUCCAAGUGCUGUAGGUA
RNAcentral lists this ribosomal RNA (116 nucleotides) under Crocodylus porosus (Australian saltwater crocodile). Lineage: Eukaryota; Metazoa; Chordata; Crocodylia; Crocodylidae. The record is from RNAcentral.